This is a long non-coding RNA of Sycon ciliatum, 1288 nucleotides long. RefSeq lists it as uncharacterized. The record is from RefSeq and is a predicted model, not a curated record. The transcript is spliced from 8 exons. NCBI's taxonomy places the organism in Eukaryota, Metazoa, Porifera, Calcarea, Leucosolenida, Sycettidae.
UUGCACUGCUACAGAUAUGUUUGUGUUAUCGUAUCAACAGCAGAGUGGUCCUCCUGGUAUUUCUGUAGCUGUGUAGCAGAUGGAUGUGACUACUACAAGUGUGUGGCUUAGUCUCCAGCCGCAGUGGAGGCGUGUUGUGGCGCGCACUGUGCGUCAUGCGGCCGCUGCUUCCGUUCGGGCCAGGGCAGGAAUAGACACCGCUGCUCAAGUUCUCCCCCGGCCAUACGUCAGUCUUGGGGUAACAGUUGUAGGUGACCUGAAUCCUGACGACCUCUCGUUGUGUCCUGGACGCCGUGGGACGGCGUUCUCCUCUUCUCUCUCCGUUGCUACUCCAGGCCCACGUGACCCUUGUGGCAGUGGCUCGAUAGGACAGGACAGGACAGUGUCUAUUGCGGAUAGCGUUGCCAGUGUCUCUACUGUUACUGCUGCUUCCUCCAUGGUCAGCUGUGCUGAACAUUGAUCCGUUACGUGUGUGUCAGCGAGUACUCAGAUGAUGGGCAGAAAUCUGGAUGGCAGAGCUGCAUCUUAGUAAGGGGUAUUAUCCGCAGUGGCGGCGUGGUUGCUCAUAUUGCAGCGGGUUGUUCUGCCAAGGUCUCCAUAUGCAAAGUGAUCUGUUGGUUGAUGGACGGAUGACGGGAUGGUUCAGUAUUGAAAGUUGCAGUUGCUGGUAGAGUUGCUGAGAGUGUGAUGCUGCUGUGAUAGAGAUCAUGACUGAUGGUGAUGUCAGUAGCUGUACUAUUCCUCUGCUUCAUCUCUGGUCCUGGGGAACACGAAUCAGAUGUAUGCAGAUCAGUGAGGUUUCUGAUGACCUACACAUACCUGGAUGAUAUUGCUGCAAUGCAGAAAGGUGCUUCUGCCAUGGUCUUGCAGGACAUCUUCUAGUUGUGGAAAUGAUUUGUUUGUUUGGGUGACUGAACAGAAGACUGGAUGGUUCAUAUUGGAAAGGUGCUGUUGUUAUGGUUACCUGUGUUGUGGAUGAUGAGGUUGCUGGUGUAGGAGACCUGAACAUUACUGGCUACUGUUCAUUACUAGAAGAGAAUGCAGAGGAUUGUCAAGAUGUACAUUGUACAUGUCCAUCUGUUCAGACAGUACACAAGGUGAAUGAAGAUGGAACAUAUCCAUUUCAUCAAAAUUGUUCUCUUCUCAAUUGUUUUAUUUUGAUCUUGAAACUGCUACCUUCCUUGUUGGAGAAGUAACGUUGUCCCCCCUCCCUUAUCACCCCUCCCCCUUAUCAUCCCUCCCCCUCCCCUCCCCUCCUCCUUAUCACCCCUCCCCUUAUCACCCCUCC